This is an RNA transcript of Harmonia axyridis, 1362 nucleotides long. It is a transcript of the gene named methionyl-tRNA formyltransferase, mitochondrial, with no coding region annotated. The record is from RefSeq and is a predicted model, not a curated record. The transcript has 5 exons. NCBI's taxonomy places the organism in Eukaryota, Metazoa, Arthropoda, Insecta, Coleoptera, Coccinellidae.
CAUAUUACUCUAUGAUGGAAAUGAAAACUUAACCAAAAAUUAAUAUAUCUGAAUCUGAUCAUUACGUUGGGUUUGAUAAUGGAAAAAUAAAAUGAUUAACAAAAGGAAACUUAUUCUGAAAAUUCGAGAGUCAUUUCAUUGGAAAAGAAUCAAUUUAAGUCAGCAUACAAAAUGUCAACAUAUAAAUAUUGCAUACAAACCUCCUUGGAAAAUUCUUUUUUUUGGCACUGAUAAAUUUUCACUGUUCAGUUUAGGUCGUCUCCUACAGGAAUAUAGAAACGGAGGUGCAAUAAGUAGGUUGGAAGUAUGCACUUCCAUUAAGGAAAUGAAAAAUGAUGUUUACAAAUUUGCGAAGAAAGAAAAUUUGAGGAUAUGGAAGUGGCCACCUGAACUUAACCGAAUGGAAUUUGAUGCAGGUUUAGUGGUAUCUUUCGGUCAUCUAAUUCCAAAGCAAUUAAUAGAAAAUUUUCCAUUAGGAAUGAUAAAUGUUCAUGCUAGCUUAUUACCUCGAUGGAGAGGAGCAGCUCCUAUAAUUUAUAGUUUAGCAAAUGGAGAUAAAAUCACUGGAGUAACAAUAAUGCAAAUAGAGCCUGCUAGGUUUGAUGUGGGUAAAAUUAUAUCUCAAAAAUCUAUCAAAAUACCUGAUAAUAUAUAUUUGCCUGAAUUAAAUGUUAAGUUAGGAUCUCUUGGAGCCAAUGAAUUAAUAGAAUGUUUAAAAGACUUACCCAAAAAAUUGAACAAUGCUGAACACCAGUCAAAAGAAGGAAUUUCAUAUGCACCAAAGGUAGAAACUUCUUUUGCACGUAUUGAUUGGGAAAAUAUGACAUCUUCAAAAAUAUUCAAUUUGGAAAGAGCACUUAAAGGUUUUUUACCCCUUACUUCAAUUUGGAAAGGAGAAAUCAUCAAGCUCUUUGGCAUAGGAUUAUUAAAUGAUGGUUGUGACAUUGAAAUGAAACAAGGAUUCAUUCAUUAUGAUGAUGAAUCACAAAAAUUGAAAGUUGUAUGUACAGACAAGAAUUAUAUUACAAUUGAAAAAGUUCAAAUCUAUCAGAGGAAACUAAUGGCUGCUAAAGAUUUUAAUAAUGGGUAUCUGAAGAAAGUACCACUAGAAGAAAGAUAUUUUCUUUGAAUUUUAAAAAAUUCAUGAAAUAUAUUAAUGUGAGUUCGAAAAGAGCAAUAAAAUUUGAUGCAGUUUUUGGUUGCCUUGACCUGACACCAAUGAAAUUCAAACUUCUACAUUUUGCUUCCAAAACUACCGGAGUUAGGAGAAAGCUUUGUGAUCAACUUUGGUAUGUUAAAAAUGAUUGAUCUUCGCAGUGAAAAUAUUAACUCGCAAAAUGUAAAUAAAGCAAUUAUGAACAA